UAUUAGAGAGGGAUAUUUCUCUCUCUCUCUCACUCCCUCAGCCUCUUUCUCUCUCUCCCUCUCUCUGAUCGUGCGAAGCAGGGAAAGAAGGAAAAAGGGAAAGAAAGAAAGGAGAGAAAGGAAAAGAGAGGAGAAAAAGAAGGAGAAGAUGGAGGAGAUGCAGGAGAUCGUCGCCAUCGUCAUCCUCUUCGUCUUCUUCUUCUCCUUGGAG
This 211-nucleotide long non-coding RNA is filed under the name Ananas comosus (pineapple). Its description in RNAcentral is "long non-coding RNA (ACOM_LNC027936)". The record is from RNAcentral. Lineage: Eukaryota; Viridiplantae; Streptophyta; Magnoliopsida; Poales; Bromeliaceae.